This 438-nucleotide ribosomal RNA is filed under the name uncultured bacterium. Its description in RNAcentral is "partial 16S ribosomal RNA". It matches the Rfam family "Bacterial small subunit ribosomal RNA", at positions 339 to 795 of the family's 1533-position model. The record is from RNAcentral.
CUACGGGACGCAGCAGUGAGGAAUAUUGCACAAUGGGGGGAACCCUGAUGCAGCAGCGCCGCGUGGAGGAUGACGCAUUUCGGUGUGUAAACUCCUUUUAUAUGUCAAGAAAAUGACGGUAGCAUAUGAAUAAGCACCGGCUAACUCCGUGCCAGCAGCCGCGGUAAUACGGGGGUGCAAGCGUUACUCGGAAUCACUGGGCGUAAAGGACGCGUAGGCGGGUUGGAAAGUCAGGUGUGAAAUCCUACAGCUUAACUGUAGAACUGCACUUGAAACUUCUAAUCUAGAGUAUGGGAGGGGGAGAUGGAAUUAGUGGUGUAGGGGUAAAAUCCGUAGAUAUCACUAGGAAUACCUAAAGCGAAGGCGAUCUCCUGGAACAUUACUGACGCUAAGGCGUGAAAGCGUGGGGAGCAAACAGGAUUAGAUACCCGCGUAGUC